This is a long non-coding RNA of Suricata suricatta (meerkat), 573 nucleotides long. RefSeq lists it as uncharacterized. The record is from RefSeq and is a predicted model, not a curated record. NCBI's taxonomy places the organism in Eukaryota, Metazoa, Chordata, Mammalia, Carnivora, Herpestidae. The transcript is spliced from 2 exons.
AAUUAAGUAAAGGAUCUUAGGAUAAGAUCAUCUGGGAUUUAGGGUUGACCUAAAGUCCAAUGGCUGCUGUCCUGAUAGGAGGAAGGAGAGGAAGAUUUGAGACAUUAAACAGAAGGAAGAAAGCCACAUGAAGACAGAGGUUGGGAUUGGAGCAAUGCAAACACAAGCCAAGGAACACCAGGAUCCACCAGAUGCUGGAAGAAGCCAGAAAGGAUACAGCCUUUGGAAGGAGAAGGAAAAUCUCAGAAUCCAGAGUACGUCAGCACGGAUGCACGUUCCUGAGUAAAAGAACAGGCUUGCCCCUGAUUAAAAAAAGAAGAAGAAGAAACUGAUAUCAAUGUCUUUUCAAGGACUGGUUUUUUUUGAGUGUCACAGUUUCCAAACUGACUACGCACAAAUUUCAAGAUCUAUCUAUCCAUCCAUCCAUCUACCUAUCAUCUAUCUACUUAGACUAAAUCAAUCAAUUCAGAGAUCUGGAAAGUUGCCAUUAGGUUAGGUAGGUGGAUACUUUGUUUUUGUGCAAGUUAUUCUUUGAAGGCCCAGAAAUUAAAUGAAUGAGCUAUAACAAGUCAA